RNAcentral lists this transfer RNA (65 nucleotides) under Pyrrhopeplus posthumus. RNAcentral describes it as "tRNA-Cys". Lineage: Eukaryota; Metazoa; Arthropoda; Insecta; Hemiptera; Pyrrhocoridae. RNAcentral also lists the same sequence under 1 other name. The record is from RNAcentral.
GGCUUUAUAGUCAAUAGAUUUAUGAUAUUAGAUUGCAAAUCUAAAGUAACAUUUUGUUAAAGCUU